CUUGGGUCCGGCAUAACCCCGGGAAACUGGGGAUAAUUCCGGAUAACGCACAUAUGCUGGAAUGCUUUAUGCGUCAAAUGGAUUCGUCUGCCCAAGGAUGGGUCUUCGGCCUAUCAGGUAGUAGUGGGUGUAAUGUACCUACUAGCCGACGACGGGUACGGGUUGUGAGAGCAAGAGCCCGGAGAUGGAUUCUGAGACAUGAAUCCAGGCCCUACGGGGCGCAGCAGGCGCGAAAACUUUACAAUGCGGGAAACCGUGAUAAGGGGACACCGAGUGCCAGCAUCAUAUGCUGGCUGUCCGGGUGUGUAAAAUACACCUGUUAGCAAGGGCCGGGCAAGACCGGUGCCAGCCGCCGCGGUAACACCGGCGGCCCGAGUGGUGAUCGUGAUUAUUGGGUCU
Molecule: ribosomal RNA, 399 nt
Filed under: Methanosarcina sp. enrichment culture clone G07
Lineage: Archaea; Methanobacteriati; Methanobacteriota; Methanomicrobia; Methanosarcinales; Methanosarcinaceae
Description: bacterial SSU rRNA
Rfam family: Archaeal small subunit ribosomal RNA
Source: RNAcentral